Molecule: unclassified non-coding RNA, 200 nt
Filed under: soil metagenome
Description: partial contains internal transcribed spacer 2 and large subunit ribosomal RNA
Source: RNAcentral
CAUACCUGUUCGAGCGUCAUUACACCUCUCAAAUACUUGCAUUUGGUGUUGGGCUUUGCCUUUAGGCAUGCCUAAAAAUCAGUGACGGUACGUUGAACCACAGACGCGCAAAUGUCGUUAUGUAGGGGAGAUGGUGCCUGUCCAAUGAUGAAUUUCUAAAUGUUGACCUCGGAUCAGGUAGGAAUACCCGCUGAACUUAA